UUAAAUUUUGAAGCUAUAAGGUCUAACAACCCUUCAGAAAAAGAAUCGACCGAAUCAGUUGAUUCCUAUCAAUUCACCAAAUUCACUAUCGAAUCGUAAUAUUAGGUCAUGAUUCAGGUACAUUUUCAAUUCAUCCCAUAGAUUUGAAUUGUUAGGAAGGGAAAUCAAAUUGAAUCGAGAAUCGUAUGAUUCUAACAACGGUGGCUGUAACCAACUAUCCCUGCCUGCCAGAUAGACACAUUCAAAUUUAUUCAGCACGAAGAAUGCAAGAAUUUCUCAACUUUCCUAUGGACAGAAGUAUCAAACCAUAUAAACUCAAGAAACCAUCA
RNAcentral lists this unclassified non-coding RNA (329 nucleotides) under Hevea brasiliensis (rubber tree). The record is from RNAcentral. Lineage: Eukaryota; Viridiplantae; Streptophyta; Magnoliopsida; Malpighiales; Euphorbiaceae.